GAAGGGCGCCUGCGCGGCCGCUUCUGCAGUGUAGGACGUGCAGCUGAGUCACCUGCCUUUUGAAAAAGUCGUGCGUUGCAGAGAUGUGGAUUUUGUGUUCCUAACAGUCUAGUUAUGGAAGAGAACUGUGGGGUUAUGAGGCCUAUUGAAGCUAGCCAUUCAGAGAUGGAGAAUAAAGAAGAGCCGUGUGUUUUGGACACAGAAAAGAAGGGAGAUGAAAAAAGGGAGCCUUACAGAAGGAAAACUUCUCCCUCUCUGGCCAAAAAUCACCCUGGUCAGUUUGCCAGUGUGGGGAAAAACAAAGCGAAUGAAAAGAAUAUCUUCCUUCAGC
This 331-nucleotide long non-coding RNA is filed under the name Notechis scutatus (mainland tiger snake). RNAcentral's name for it is "lncRNA (ENSNSUG00000019487.1)". Lineage: Eukaryota; Metazoa; Chordata; Lepidosauria; Squamata; Elapidae. The record is from RNAcentral.